RNAcentral lists this ribosomal RNA (468 nucleotides) under uncultured bacterium. Its description in RNAcentral is "partial 16S ribosomal RNA". It matches the Rfam family "Bacterial small subunit ribosomal RNA", at positions 28 to 507 of the family's 1533-position model. The record is from RNAcentral.
GACGAACGCUGGCGGCGUGCUUAACACAUGCAAGUCGAACGGAAAGGCCCUGCUUUUGCGGGGUGCUCGAGUGGCGAACGGGUGAGUAACACGUGAGUAACCUGCCCUUGACUUUGGGAUAACUUCAGGAAACUGGGGCUGAUACCGGAUAGGAGCUCCUGCUGCAUGGUGGGGGUUGGAAAGUUUCGGCGGUUGGGGAUGGACUCGCGGCUUAUCAGCUUGUUGGUGGGGUAGUGGCUUACCAAGGCUUUGACGGGUAGCCGGCCUGAGAGGGUGACCGGCCACAUUGGGACUGAGAUACGGCCCAGACUCCUACGGGAGGCAGCAGUGGGGAAUAUUGCACAAUGGGCGGAAGCCUGAUGCAGCAACGCCGCGUGCGGGAUGACGGCCUUCGGGUUGUAAACCGCUUUCGCCUGUGACGAAGCGUGAGUGACGGUAAUGGGUAAAGAAGCACCGGCUAACUACGUG